GCUUAUUCUCUCUUGACUUCAGCACCUUCAUACAAUGUGCAACCACUGAGCUGAAUCCCUGUCGUAGGUGUCUGCGGAGGGCGGUUGGUGCCCAGGUGGUCCUAGGCCCUUUCUAGGAAGAAGGGACUGUGAGAAGCAGAGGCCAAGACAGGAUUCAAUGUGCCCGGAUUGUUCUGAGGGAAGAUGCCUGUGAAAGAGAAAAUGGGGCCAUAGGUCACGAUCCCUGUCUGACCCAGAGUGAAGGAGAGAGGGGGGUUUGGAGGGACUGUUGUGGGGACUCCUCCAGAGAGCUGCCCCUCAGAGGAGCCCACCUUUGUGCCGCUACCACGCUCGGCCGUUGGCUGGGAACUGGGCUCUGCGCAGAAGGGCAGGGAAGGGUCUCACCGCUCUUCUGCUGCCCUCAGCCAUCUGUUCCUUGAGCUGGAGUUACAGCAGGGAACUUCUUUUCACAGUCUUCGCACGUUCUUUCUAUGGAAAGUUAUCCUGGCUUGGGCUGUGUGCCUUGAGGGGAAUGACCCGGUGACUUGCCCUUGGCUGACUGUGACAGAUGGAGUCCCUGAGCCAAAGGCAGUCAGCAUGGGGCGAGUUUAUGGGAAACCCUGCCUCAUCUGGGUGUUCCUUGUUGGCUGGGGACCACCUGGCUCAGCCAGAAUCUCCCUGGGGCUAGAGGAAGGUGAAAUGGGGACAGAGAGAUGGAUUCCUCCAGAAAAGGACCAGAACCUCCUCCCUGAGUUCUUCCCCUUCAUGGAGACCCUGGGAACUCAUCACAACUGGCUGCAAAGAGGUUUCCGGUGCCUCCUGACUCCUGAGUGUCCAAGAAAACUAGCGCCUGCCAGGGCCAUGCUGAACUGCAGACAAUGCUGCUGUGAACAUCUGUGGAUAUGUCUCUGUGCACACGUGCAAGGGCUUCUCUAGGAGCAUGUGGGAUCUUAGUUCCCCGACCAGCGAU
Capra hircus (goat) is the source of this 949-nucleotide long non-coding RNA. RefSeq lists it as uncharacterized. The record is from RefSeq and is a predicted model, not a curated record. The transcript has 3 exons. NCBI's taxonomy places the organism in Eukaryota, Metazoa, Chordata, Mammalia, Artiodactyla, Bovidae.